RNAcentral lists this ribosomal RNA (445 nucleotides) under uncultured bacterium. Its description in RNAcentral is "bacterial SSU rRNA". It matches the Rfam family "Bacterial small subunit ribosomal RNA", at positions 329 to 792 of the family's 1533-position model. The record is from RNAcentral.
CGCCAGACUCCUACGGGAGGCAGCAGUGGGGAAUAUUGCACAAUGGGGGAAACCCUGAUGCAGCGACGCCGCGUGAGUGAUGAAGUAUUUCGGUAUGUAAAGCUCUAUCAGCAGGGAAGAUAAUGACGGUACCUGACUAAGAAGCUCCGGCUAAAUACGUGCCAGCAGCCGCGGUAAUACGGAGGAUGCGAGCGUUAUCCGGAUUUAUUGGGUUUAAAGGGUGCGCAGGCGGAGGUGCAAGUCAGCGGUCAAAUUGCGGGGCUCAACCCCGUACUGCCGUUGAAACUGCAUCCCUUGAGUGCGCGAGAAGUAUGCGGAAUGCGUGGUGUAGCGGUGAAAUGCAUAGAUAUCACGCAGAACUCCGAUUGCGAAGGCAGCAUACCGGCGCGCAACUGGCGCCCAUGCACGAAAGCGUGGGUAUCGAACAGGAUUAGAUACCCGGGUA